ACAAAAGGCCAUACCACCCUGAACGCGUCCGAUCUCGUUUCAUCUCUGAAGGUAAGCAGGGAUGGGCCUGGUUAGUACUUGGAUGAGAGACCAUUUCUUAUUUAAACCUAGAGGGAGAUAAAGUCAUUCAGUC
This is a ribosomal RNA of Panthera pardus (leopard), 133 nucleotides long. Lineage: Eukaryota; Metazoa; Chordata; Mammalia; Carnivora; Felidae. The record is from Ensembl.